RNAcentral lists this transfer RNA (66 nucleotides) under mouse gut metagenome. It matches the Rfam family "tRNA", at positions 5 to 66 of the family's 71-position model. Rfam says of the family: Transfer RNA (tRNA) molecules are approximately 80 nucleotides in length. Their secondary structure includes four short double-helical elements and three loops (D, anti-codon, and T loops). The record is from RNAcentral. RNAcentral also lists the same sequence under 1 other name.
GGCAUGGCACAGAUGGUAGCGCGUCGCAUUGGUAAUGCGGAGGUCACGGGUUCGAUUCCCGUUGCU